This 311-nucleotide unclassified non-coding RNA is filed under the name uncultured fungus. Its description in RNAcentral is "partial contains small subunit ribosomal RNA, internal transcribed spacer 1, and 5.8S ribosomal RNA". The stretch from base 1 to 73 matches the Rfam family "Eukaryotic small subunit ribosomal RNA", at positions 1759 to 1831 of the family's 1831-position model. The record is from RNAcentral. Lineage: Eukaryota; Fungi.
GCAAACUUGGUCAUUUAGAGGAAGUAAAAGUCGUAACAAGGUUUCCGUAGGUGAACCUGCGGAAGGAUCAUUACCGAGUCCGGGGCCCGCCCCACUCCGCGGCGCCGCGGGUCCCCCGUCGCGGGGGCCCGCGGGGCCGCUCGCCUUUUUUCCAAACCCGUGAACGCGAGGAGAGCCCGGGCGAGAGCCCGGAGCGCAGGCGCAGUCAUGCGGCCGCGCUGGGGCGCCGGAGACGGCGACCCCGAGAGAGGAUCGAGCAGAAAACUUUCAGCAACGGAUCUCUUGGCUCCCGCAUCGAUGAAGAACGCAGC